RNAcentral lists this long non-coding RNA (1161 nucleotides) under Zostera marina. RNAcentral's name for it is "long non-coding RNA (ZMAR_LNC000096)". The record is from RNAcentral. Lineage: Eukaryota; Viridiplantae; Streptophyta; Magnoliopsida; Alismatales; Zosteraceae.
UGUAAUGUUGAUUGAUUUACUAUUGAUUUGUUACAACAAAAAAAAAAAAAAUUUGACAACUCAUCCAGAAAAGGCUAUUAAACCCAAUAAAGAUUUUAUUUACAAUUGAGCCUUUAAUAUUCACAUGAAUACCAACACUUCCUCUAAUCGAUGCAAGAAUUUAUUUCUCCCUUUCUAAACUCUCUUCUUAUGCCAACUUUUUGGACUCAUCGAAUACAUUUUUCUUUCUUUUUAAAACUCUUCUUUUCUUCAUCGACAGCAUUCUUCACUAAUCAGCACUGCUCUUCAUCAUUCUUCAUUUUCUACUACAAGCUGCAAUCAAAUGGUGAGUAAGCUUUCAGGGUUUGGGGUUAAAUGGGGUUUUAGAGAAAGGGUUAAAUAAAAGUAGGGUUUUAGAUUAAAAUAAUUUGAUUAAUUUUUUUAUUAUCGCUCCACUACAUUCAGAUUACUGUUUGUCAAGCCUGUGGGGCUCUGGAAAAUCCUCAACUCUUGAUUUUCUGUUCAACUUGUAACAAUAAUGCUGAACACCUGUAUGUAUGGAUAUAUAUUCUUUCUAUCUUGCAGAUGUGGUGGUGUUUCAAAUUCUUUUUCAUUUCUUCUUUUCUGCAGGUAUUGCUUGACAGAAUAUGAGGAAUGUCUUGGGGAUUUUAUUUGGUCUUGUGAGGAAUGUACACAGCAUAUAAUCCCCACAACCAGUCUAUGCCAAGAGGAGGGUAAGUGAGAACCAAAUGUUUGUAGUUUUCUUACAUUAAUUCCAAUGAAAUUUUAAAAAAUAUUUAUAAAUCAAAACACUUUUGUCUUCUAUUCUAUCCAAAUUUCCAAUGUUUGGGAUUUUGCAUUUUUUACUCACCAUAAAUUAUUUAAAUACACUCCGUUUCUGUAACGGUGUCUACGUGCCGGCAUCUUCGUUCGUUAUGCAUCGCAUGGUUCGAUUUUGGGACGGCACGACGGGUCAUGUCUCGGCACAAAUUCAUUUGCCUACGCCGGUGUCUACAGGUAGAGGUAUGGGUUGCAAUGUACGUCGUCCGGUGGAUAAUUUCACCGUCGUUCAUUGUCCGGACUGUGAACGACACAGCGGGUCCAAUCGGACACCCCAGGUCCCCUCGACGGAGUCCUUAUUUGAACUGGUUCGUAUUUUGGGUAAUUUACUAAAUACCCCUU